AACCUUUGUUUUCGACCUGAAAUAUGGAAGUCUGCAAUCUAAUAUUUUGUCAGUAGUCUUAUAUCACUGGUUUGCAGAUAUUUUAGCAAAAAAAUAGGUCAUUCCAAGACAAAAAAUACAAAAGUUGUAAAAACAGUAAAUCUGUGAGAGUGCAGCUUUAAAUGACUAAAUGUUUUGAUUUGGCUCAAUUUUCACCUAAAAUCUUAUAGUUUUGUUGCACCUAAAUGGUAUGUUUUUAACAACAUUACACAUGCAUAUGUAUAAAUUUGUUCUUAAAUUUGUAAUUUAGAUUGGAAGAUUCAUUCUCUGGAAAGUAGAAAAGGGCAUGUUACAUACUGUUAUCAUUGCCAUGACAGAAACCAUAUUGAGGAGCUGGUCCACCUGUAGGAAGAAUUGCGCUAUUGGUUGCAGCAGCACUAUUACCCAGCCAUACACCAGCACUUAGUUUGUCAUAGGGAGCAUUUCUGAGCAGUUAUGGAGACCACUAACUAUGCAGUUGUUGCAGUGAAACUUGCACCAGUGUGUUUUCUGUGGAGAUAAAGAGAUAGUGUCCAGCAAUGAAGACCCAACUCAAGAUCUGACCUUGUAAGGCCAAUAUGAAAUAACUGUGUGGGAAAAUGGGAAAAACCUGCAGUCAGGAAUGCACGGAAAUCAUCAAAAGAACAGUGUUAAAUUAAUCUUGAAUAACUUGACAUUUAUUUUGUUUGACAUAUUUAUUCAUGGUGCAGUGAAAACAUUCUCUUUUUCUCAUGGUUAUUUAAAUUUAGAAUUGAUAGGAGGGAACAUCACUAUGUAGUUUCAUGUUCAUAGUCAGAUCAAAACCCAUUUACAUGCCCAAAUGAGCAUUCGAAAAUAUCAAAAUGGUACUUGUUGUAUGUAGUGUAAGUUAAUUAACGUAAUAAACAAAAAUAUUUAA
Long non-coding RNA from Mya arenaria, 916 nucleotides. RefSeq lists it as uncharacterized. The transcript is spliced from 2 exons. The record is from RefSeq and is a predicted model, not a curated record. NCBI's taxonomy places the organism in Eukaryota, Metazoa, Mollusca, Bivalvia, Myida, Myidae.